UUCACGUGUUUGUGCAGUGCUGUAGUUCAGGUGUGUGUUUCACGUGUUUGUGAUUGUGCAGUGCUGUAGAUCAGUUGUGUGUUUCACGUGUUUGUGAUUGUGCAGUGCUGUAGUUCAGGUGUGUGUUUCACGUGUUUGUGAUUGUGUAGUGCUGUAGUUCAGGUGUGUGUUUCAUGUGUUUGUGAUUGUGCAGUGCUGUAGUUCAGGUGUGUGUUUCACAUGUUUCUGAUUGUGCAGUGCUGUAGAUCAGGUGUGUGUUUCACGUGUUUGUGAUUGUGCAGUGCUGUAGUUCAGAUGUGUUUCACGUGUUUGUGAUUGUGCAGUGCUGUAGUUCAGGUGUGUGUUUCACGUGUUUGUGAUUGUGCAGUGCUGUAGUUCAGGUGUGUGUUUCACCUGUUUGUGCAGUGCUGUA
This is a long non-coding RNA of Sinocyclocheilus anshuiensis, 412 nucleotides long. RefSeq lists it as uncharacterized. The record is from RefSeq and is a predicted model, not a curated record. Lineage: Eukaryota; Metazoa; Chordata; Actinopteri; Cypriniformes; Cyprinidae. The transcript is spliced from 6 exons.